Molecule: ribosomal RNA, 301 nt
Filed under: uncultured bacterium
Lineage: Bacteria
Description: partial 16S ribosomal RNA
Rfam family: Bacterial small subunit ribosomal RNA
Source: RNAcentral
CAGCCGCCGCGGGAAUACGUAGGUGGCAAGCGUUGUCCGGAAUUAUUGGGCGUAAAGGGCUCGCAGGCGGUUUCUUAAGUCUGAUGUGAAAGCCCCCGGCUCAACCGGGGAGGGUCAUUGGAAACUGGGAAACUUGAGUGCAGAAGAGGAGAGUGGAAUUCCACGUGUAGCGGUGAAAUGCGUAGAGAUGUGGAGGAACACCAGUGGCGAAGGUGACUCUCUGGUCUGUAACUGACGCUGAGGAGCGAAAGCGUGGGGAGCGAACAGGAUUAGAUACCCCCGUAGUCCCUGUCUCUUAUAC